AUCCAUGCUAAAGUACAGUAUUAACUAUUUACGACACCUGUAGAUGUUUUGAAGAUUGUUAGCAGUACGAAAUAUUUUUAACACUUGAACAAAAUAUGGCAUCCACCUGAUUUUGUACUAUAGGGGGUAUCAAACGUUUCCAACGCUUGCCUUCGAAACAUCCAAAACAUAUGUACAUUGAAACAUCAAUUGAAACAUAAACAAUAAAUGCUAAGCACAUGUUUGAACUCAAUUGAAACAUUACAAUUGUAUUAAAUUUCUUUCCUGACAUACCAUCACCAUAAUAACUGUAGGUAAACAAAUCAAAGAAAGAAAGAAAAUUUUAACUACUUUUGUAUGAGAAUGGUAGGUCGCUACAGUCAAUAUCUGCACAAAAAUAAUCAAACAUGAAGUUUAAUUCAUUUUACAAUAAAUUCAAUUAAAGAAUUAUCGUUGUCAUGAAAAAGAAAAAAAAAUAAUAUUACGUCUCGAGUUACACAUACGCACUAAGACAUAGGGGUGCAAGAAAGAUGCAACUUUGCGGGAAAAGUGCAGAGCAAGAAAAAAAAGUAAUAUUACGUCUCGAGUUACACAUACGCACUAAGACAUAGGGGUGCAAGAAAGAUGCAACUUUGCGGGAAAAGUGCAGAGCAAGAAAAAAAAGUAAUAUUACGUCUCGAGUUACACAUACGCACUAAGACAUAGGGGUGCAAGAAAGAUGCAACUGUGCGGGAAAAGUGCAGAGCAAGAAAAAAAAGUAAUAUUACGUCUCGAGUUACACAUACGCACUAAGACAUAGGGGUGCAAGAAAGAUGCAACUUUGCGGGAAAAGUGCAGAGCAAGAAAAAAAAGUAAUAUUACGUCUCGAGUUACACAUACGCACUAAGACAUAGGGGUGCAAGAAAGAUGCAACUUUGCGGGAAAAGUGCAGAGCAAGAAAAAAAAGUAAUAUUACGUCUCGAGUUACACAUACGCACUAAGACAUAGGGGUGCAAGAAAGAUGCAACUUUGCGGGAAAAGUGCAGAGCAAGAAAAAAAAGUAAUAUUACGUCUCGAGUUACACAUACGCACUAAGACAUAGGGGUGCAAGAAAGAUGCAACUGUGCGGGAAAAGUGCAGAGCAAGAAAAAAAAGUAAUAUUACGUCUCGAGUUACACAUACGCACUAAGACAUAGGGGUGCAAGAAAGAUGCAACUUUGCGGGAAAAGUGCAGAGCAAGAAAAAAAAGUAAUAUUACGUCUCGAGUUACACAUACGCACUAAGACAUAGGGGUGCAAGAAAGAUGCAACUUUGCGGGAAAAGUGCAGAGCAAGAAAAAAAAGUAAUAUUACGUCUCGAGUUACACAUACGCACUAAGACAUAGGGGUGCAAGAAAGAUGCAACUUUGCGGGAAAAGUGCAGAGCAAG
Molecule: long non-coding RNA, 1386 nt
Organism: Lytechinus variegatus (green sea urchin)
Lineage: Eukaryota; Metazoa; Echinodermata; Echinoidea; Temnopleuroida; Toxopneustidae
Exons: 2
Source: RefSeq, a predicted model, not a curated record